AUGUACCACGCCAGUGUAUGUUUGAGAUGCCCUGAUUUUGAGAUGAGCCUCACUGGUGGUCUUCGUCCUACCCCACAUGAGGCGAAGUGCUCGGCAGCUGCCAAUAUGAUAUUGGAGCUUCACAAGAAGGCGGAAGACCGGGAUGGUACUUCGCCAAUCGAGACGGCCUUUGCGCUCAUGGUGCGCGUCAUCGGGAAGCACACGGCCGGCAAGGUACAUGAGUACUGGAUCGACGAUGGACUCUACGGCUCCCUCAACUGCGUCCUCAUGGACGACUACGUGCCCCGCCCGAGGCCGCUCGCCACCCCACGCGCUGGCCAGGAGACGUACACAUCGACUGUGUUCAGGCCGACGUGUGACUCACUCGACACGGUGGUGACGCGGUACCGGCUGCCGGAGAUACGCGCGGGGACUGGCUCGUGUUCUGUGACAUGGGCCCCUACUCCAUCGGCUCUGGCUCCGGCUCCCAUUUUCAAUGGCUUCUCCAUGUCCGAUAUUACGACAUUCUCAGAAGCAUAA
Molecule: ribosomal RNA, 519 nt
Filed under: Triticum aestivum (bread wheat)
Lineage: Eukaryota; Viridiplantae; Streptophyta; Magnoliopsida; Poales; Poaceae
Description: partial small subunit ribosomal RNA
Source: RNAcentral